This 301-nucleotide long non-coding RNA is filed under the name Brassica napus (rape). RNAcentral describes it as "long non-coding RNA (BNAP_LNC011222)". Lineage: Eukaryota; Viridiplantae; Streptophyta; Magnoliopsida; Brassicales; Brassicaceae. The record is from RNAcentral.
UGCAGGUUAAAUAAACUUAAAGGAAGGAUUAUGGUUUGAUAAUGAUAUUGGAGGACAAAUCAGAAAACAUUGACUACCUAGGAAAGAGAAGCAUUGUCGUUACAUUAUUUGUUUCUGUCGUUUUUAGUUAGUUUUAAUUAUUUUAGAAAACAUUGAUUACUUGGAAAAGACAAGCAUUAUUAAUUGUUUAGUUCAUUUAAUUAUCAGUGGCAUUUAGUUGUAAAUAAAAGAAAACUCUAAGGGUUAUUUUAUAUGUGUACUUCUGUUUUAAUAAAGUAGAUACAUAAUAAAUGAACGACAA